This 575-nucleotide ribosomal RNA is filed under the name Aspergillus intermedius. Its description in RNAcentral is "eukaryotic LSU rRNA". It matches the Rfam family "Eukaryotic large subunit ribosomal RNA", at positions 58 to 648 of the family's 3401-position model. RNAcentral also lists the same sequence under 2 other names. Lineage: Eukaryota; Fungi; Ascomycota; Eurotiomycetes; Eurotiales; Aspergillaceae. The record is from RNAcentral.
AAAGAAACCAACCGGGAUUGCCUCAGUAACGGCGAGUGAAGCGGCAAGAGCUCAAAUUUGAAAUCUGGCCCCUCCGGGGUCCGAGUUGUAAUUUGUAGAGGAUGCUUCGGGUGCGGCCCCCGUCUAAGUGCCCUGGAACGGGCCAUCGGAGAGGGUGAGAAUCCCGUCUGGGACGGGGUGUCCGCGUCCAUGUGAAGCUCCUUCGACGAGUCGAGUUGUUUGGGAAUGCAGCUCUAAAUGGGUGGUAAAUUUCAUCUAAAGCUAAAUACUGGCCGGAGACCGAUAGCGCACAAGUAGAGUGAUCGAAAGAUGAAAAGCACUUUGAAAAGAGAGUUAAACAGCACGUGAAAUUGUUGAAAGGGAAGCGCUUGCGACCAGACUCGCUUCCGGGGUUCAGCCGGCUUUCGGGCCGGUGUACUUCCCCGGGGGCGGGCCAGCGUCGGUUUGGGCGGCCGGUCAAAGGCCCCUGGAAUGUAACGCCUCUCGGGGCGCCUUAUAGCCAGGGGUGUCAUGCGGCCAGCCUGGACCGAGGAACGCGCUUCGGCACGGACGCUGGCAUAAUGGUCGUAAACGAC